This 61-nucleotide microRNA precursor is filed under the name Monopterus albus (swamp eel). Its description in RNAcentral is "Mal-Mir-26-P2a_pre stem-loop". The record is from RNAcentral. Lineage: Eukaryota; Metazoa; Chordata; Actinopteri; Synbranchiformes; Synbranchidae.
UUCAAGUAAUCCAGGAUAGGCUUGUUAAAGUGGGGGAAGCCUAUUCAGGAUGACUUGGUUC